Molecule: non-coding RNA, 119 nt
Filed under: Sphenodon punctatus (tuatara)
Lineage: Eukaryota; Metazoa; Chordata; Lepidosauria; Sphenodontia; Sphenodontidae
Source: RNAcentral
GUGUUGUAUGAAAGGAACAAAACUUAGCACAAAAAACGGAAGAGCUACGAGUGGCCUGCGCAACAUGCAUAUGGUUAACGCACUGCCACUUGCUUUGUGGCAUCUAACCAAGCUUUCUU